GGUGACAUAGCAUAAUAUGCUCAUAUAAAAAAAAAAUAGAAACGACGUUGUAUUGUUGAACUGGAUGAAAAUGAUGUUGUUUUUGCAAAAAAAAUAGAAACGAUGUUGUAUUGUUGGAUGAAAAUGAUGUUAUUUCUGCAACAAACAAUUAAAAGCUAACCCUAAACUUCUCGUUCUCUCUCCUCUCUCCUUCUCUCGCUUUCUCCCUUGUUGUUUUCUCUCUCUCUCGCUUUAUCCCCUCUCUUUUUCUCAUCAGCUAUAAGCC
Molecule: long non-coding RNA, 265 nt
Filed under: Salvia miltiorrhiza (redroot sage)
Lineage: Eukaryota; Viridiplantae; Streptophyta; Magnoliopsida; Lamiales; Lamiaceae
Description: long non-coding RNA (SMIL_LNC003446)
Source: RNAcentral